Molecule: long non-coding RNA, 1671 nt
Organism: Pan troglodytes (chimpanzee)
Lineage: Eukaryota; Metazoa; Chordata; Mammalia; Primates; Hominidae
Exons: 4
Source: RefSeq, a predicted model, not a curated record
ACCCAAUUCCCCCUGAGAAAGAGAAAGAGGUGGAGUCAUUUAAAAAUUAACUGCCUGUUUUUCUGUCUGGCUAGUGAGCCUUAUCUCUCACUUUCCCAGGCAUUGUGAAGACCGUUUCUCUAGCUAUGCAGCUGCAAGGUCACUAGACAGAUAAACUUAAGUUGUAAAACAUGUUUUUUCUUGAAAAGUAACAAAUGAUGUAAUACAAGUCUCAACUGAAUAACUGUCUUUGUUUCUCACUUCUGUAAUAUGCUUCCCCUACACAGAUCUCCCCUAACCCUACAAAAUGCUUAAAAGGUAACUUGACUCUUUGGGGGCUCAGUCAUUUUUGAAUGUUAAUCUGACUGGGCUGGUGGACCUAAAUAAUAAUAAUAAUAAAUCCUCCUCAACUCCUCAGUCUUUCUGAUUCCUAAAUUAUCCUGAAACAUUUCUGGUGGCCCAUACAGGGAUCAGAGAUGACAGAUUUACUGUCUCCUUUGCCUGUGGGACUAGAGCCCCAGGGCCGGGGGAGACCCAGCAUGCAAGGUGCACCCUAGGGGACUUUCACCUGGAUGGAGACCAGCUCUCCCUGCAUCCUGGCAGCCUACCCAGCAGUACAACAGAACUGGGGAUGAGGCUACAGGACAAUACUAGCACUUCAGGAACUGCGCCGACUGAAACCAGUGGCAGCAGUGACUCCCAAUGAUGACCAGUGGAUUAGCCAACAAGACCCAGAUCACCCCACCCGAAUGGGCCUACGGUGAAACCCAACCACCAGUAAGAAGGACAAUUGCCUUGCUCUGACCACACUGGAGACUGGUCAGUCUACCCACAGCUGAAGCUUGAGAAUCCUGCAAGCUCUGCUCUAGUCACAUCCUGGAAUCUGACUAGUCCACACACAGCCGAAGCUAAGAGGGCCAUCACUGAAUAAGCAUUGUGAAGACCCUGUUUCUCUAGCCGUGCAGCUGCAAGGUCACUAGACAGAAAAACUCAAGUCAUAAACAUGUUUUUUCUUGAAAGGUGGAUAUUGAGGAAGAAACAGAAAAAUCCAAGACAAUCCCCUGUGGAAGAAAAUUAUCCAACCCAAAUUUCAACUGAACCCAAAGCUCAACCCAAAGCACUAAACAGCACAUCAAGACCUGUCAAAUAUAAUCACACAAUCUAAUACUUUUAAAUACGCAAAAUGAAGAGCACCAAAGUCAAUGUCAUUCAGAAAUAACAAUAACAAAACUAGAACACCCCGAUGCCAUUAGGCCUCAAGGAAUUCCAAAGUAGUGUAUUAGGUAUAAAAAAUAUAUAUGUAAUUAGAAAUGUUUACAGAAAUUAGAGGGAUUUUUUUGUUUGUUAGUUUGUUGGUUUGUUUGUUUGAGACGAGGUCUCGCUGUGUCACCCAGGCUGGAGUGCAGCAGCGCGAUCUCGGCUCACUGCAAGCUCCGCCUCCUGGGUUCACGCCAUUCUCCUGCCUCAACCUCCCGAGUAGCUGAGACUACAGGCACCCGCCACCAUGCCCGGGUAAUUUUUUGUAUUUUUUUUUAUUAGAGAUGGGGUUUCACCGUGUUAGCCAGGAUGGGAGGGAUUUUUUUUAAAAAAAGAUUUGGCCUCUAAAACAGUUAACAUUUCAGUAAAGAAGAAAAGAUAAAUUCAAUGUUUGAUAUACAUACAUACAAAUAAAUUUCAGGAAAAUGAAAAGUC